This 85-nucleotide small RNA is filed under the name Marmota monax (woodchuck). It matches the Rfam family "U4 spliceosomal RNA", at positions 1 to 84 of the family's 138-position model. Rfam says of the family: U4 small nuclear RNA (U4 snRNA) is a component of the major U2-dependent spliceosome. Lineage: Eukaryota; Metazoa; Chordata; Mammalia; Rodentia; Sciuridae. The record is from RNAcentral.
AGCUUUUCAUAGUGGUAGUGUCAUAAUCAAUGAGGUUUAUCUGAGAUGUAAUUAUUGCUAAUUGAAAAAAAAUUAACAAAACAUG